CAGCAGCCGCGGUAAUACGAAGGGUGCAAGCGUUACUCGGAAUUACUGGGCGUAAAGCGUGCGCAGGCGGUUGUGUAAGACAGGUGUGAAGUCCCCGGGCUUAACCUGGGAACUGCGCUUGUGACUGCACAGCUAGAGUAUGGCAGAGGGGGGUGGAAUUCCACGUGUAGCAGUGAAAUGCGUAGAGAUGUGGAGGAACACCGAUGGCGAAGGCAGCCCCCUGGGACAACACUGACGCUGAGGCACGAAAGCGUGGGGAGCAAACAGGAUUAGAUACCCCUGUAGUCCCUGUCUCUUAUAA
This 301-nucleotide ribosomal RNA is filed under the name uncultured bacterium. Its description in RNAcentral is "partial 16S ribosomal RNA". It matches the Rfam family "Bacterial small subunit ribosomal RNA", at positions 509 to 809 of the family's 1533-position model. The record is from RNAcentral.